UAGGGAAUCUUCCACAAUGGGCGAAAGCCUGAUGGAGCAACGCCGCGUGUGUGAUGAAGGGUUUCGGCUCGUAAAACACUGUUGUAAGAGAAGAAUGACAUUGAGAGUAACUCGUUCAAUGUGUGACGGUAUCUUACCAGAAAGGAACGGCUAAAUACGUGUCAG
RNAcentral lists this ribosomal RNA (165 nucleotides) under uncultured bacterium. RNAcentral describes it as "partial 16S rRNA". It matches the Rfam family "Bacterial small subunit ribosomal RNA", at positions 355 to 511 of the family's 1533-position model. The record is from RNAcentral.